CCUUGCCAGUUUUGUAACAAAGAGACCAGCGAUUAAUAAUGAAAAUUUUGUAAAUUAUUUUAGAUUUUUAAGAACAUAAUACUGUUGCCCCCUUUUUUGUCAUUCAGGAUGAUUUCAAUGUGAACUGUUUUGUAACCAAACUCUUAAUUCUUAUACUGUUUGCCCUGCUUCAGAGUUAAAAAGCCGAGUUAUAAAAUUCUUAAUUACAUCUCAGUUGGUAUGACUUGAAGAAGAGGUAUUGUCACUAACCUAUGUUGCCCUAAUGAGUAAAAUAAUUUCACUCACGACAUAGAUUUAUAACAGGCCUAAGGCCCAAACUUACUGUGCUAAGGAAUUUAUUUAUUUACUUUAAGAAAGUUCAAACUCUGUGGUCUUGAACCCCAGUUCUCAGAUUAUUAAUUAUAGAUUACUUAAUUGUAUUAGGGAAUUGUUAUGUUAUAUUUUACUUUUGGAUAAAACCUGCAUUAGAUGCAUAAUUCAGUAAGUUUUAAAGAAUGUUAAUUUGUCCUUGUUUAGAAGUUAAGCACCUUAUCAAGAUAUUAAUUUAAGUAUUAAAAUCUUGUUUUAUAACUUUGUAACUUGAGAGUAAUGGAUGCUGUAGUGAUGUCUCACAUAUGUGAAGAUGAACAAUAAAAUUGUUUAUUUACAA
RNAcentral lists this long non-coding RNA (649 nucleotides) under Bos taurus (domestic cattle). Its description in RNAcentral is "long non-coding RNA NONBTAT005944". The record is from RNAcentral. Lineage: Eukaryota; Metazoa; Chordata; Mammalia; Artiodactyla; Bovidae.